GGGAGGACCGGCAGAGUUAGACCUGCGGUAAGAGAUUUAUUGGAAGAAAAACCCGAACUGGAAGGAAACCACGACUGUAGACGAGGGAACAGCAACAAGUGAACCUGCCCGAGGAUUGAGAGCAUCAACUGGAGAGAAACCCAUCUGACUCGGAGAUUCCAGUGAUUCAGGCAGGAGAAAGUUUGCGAACUUGAUGGCGAUUGUGAUCCUGUCCCGAGGAAGGUGCGGUCUUUCCAAAUGUGUCUCUCGCUACCUGGUGGGAAUGGCAGUGGCCGA
Long non-coding RNA from Hypanus sabinus (Atlantic stingray), 276 nucleotides. RefSeq lists it as uncharacterized. The record is from RefSeq and is a predicted model, not a curated record. The transcript is spliced from 3 exons. Lineage: Eukaryota; Metazoa; Chordata; Chondrichthyes; Myliobatiformes; Dasyatidae.